ACUGUGGAACAGGGAAAUAAAUGAUAAUGGCAAAAUGCUAAUGCUGCAAAUGAGCUGAAAAUGAUGAUGUAGCACUUGGAGCAUUCUGUUCUUGUGCUGAGGCCGGGCCUAUCGUUAGCUUGAUAUAUAAAUGUGCCUUUGAGAAGUCUUGCAGGCAUGUUUGUCUCUCAGCGAUAGAGAGAACUCAUUAGCAUAUGGAGCUUUCUCCGGUGACAAUUACCUGAGGAUUCAUGUGAACCUGCCUUGGCACAGCUAUUGCGGUGUAAUUGUCCUUAAGGGGGCAUUUUGACAAACAAGACAAACCCCUUAUUUUUAUCCAUCUGCAAUAGUAAAUUAAUUGAACAAUUAGUAGUAAUAGCUUGAGUGUACAUAACAAGGCAUCUUGCAUUCCAAAGUACUGUACUGACAAAAUAAGAGCAUUAAUGCUCUGCUAGUGAGAGAGGGAACAACCCUCUGCUCUAUUUCCAUGCAGAGGUAAGAGAAUGGCACAAGCAGAAAAAAUGGAAUGAAUUCACCAAAAGAGAUUGAUUUGGAAGCUAUAACUGGCCCCAUAUGUGGCUCUUGGAUGGCUACCAAGAAAGUAACCCCAUAUCCCAUUUGCUGAUUAUAGAAAGAUGGACAUCACCAGAUGGAUUAGACAUGACUUUAAAUCCAGCAAAAUAAUACAGACAAAAUGUAUAUCAGAGACAAUUUCUGUGCCUCUAUAUUUUAAGAUGGAAUAUUUAUGGAUUUGGGGGAGCUGGAUGGGAAGGAGAAAAUGAGGGUCAGGGAGAGAGUGGGCCUUCAUUUUCAUAUUAAAGGCUCGCUCUCCUCACAAGGAAGCCUAAUCAGACACUUUGAUUGCCAGUCACUAUAUGAUUGCCAGCAGUCACACACUGUGAUUGGAAUAGCACUUUAGGCCCGCAUAUUCUUUAGCAGGCCCUGUGUCAUGCCUGCUUCUAUCCUGCUGAUGGCACAUAAACACAGAACUGUUAACAAAUGCAAUUAGUAUCCUUCCCCAUCCUGCACAAACACUCCUAAGCAUUAGCAUCUGAACUUAUAGCACUCUGGAUUUGAUAAGUUUAGAAAGGAUAAUUUUCAAAUGAUUGAGUAAUAUUGCAAUAUUACUUUUUAACACAGAUUUAUUUAAGUGAAAUACCUGUGUCUUAUAAACAUUUGGCCAUUUUUUUUCUAAAAAAAAAGAGGGAGAUAAAAAUAUUAUUAGCACCCUCUUGGGAGUGUGGGAAUGAAUUCCUACGUACACAUACUGUGCUGCCAGAGUAAGGAGAAAUGGAGCUAGACUUCUGAAGAUACUUAUUUUAGGCAAAGACCCUUUGAUAGACUCUUCUAGAGGAGCCUUAGGAAAUUGUUAAUAUCUUCAACUUUAGGCAUAAAUUAACUUUGGGUUCUAUGAAUUCUUUAUUCUAUCUAACUGUUCUCUAACUCUAGUUGAUGUAACAUUUUCCAAACUAUCCAUUUGGCUUUUUUUUUGCCCAUCUAGAAAUAAUUUUUCUCCUUGCUUUAAAAAAAUGUGUUCAAUGAAUACUAACAUUUUCAGGAUUAAUGUAAUAAUUUUUCCCAAAAUACUGCUUCCACAAUGUCAUCUACCCAUAAUAAAACUCUCACUGUUUUCUGUUGCCUCCCAAAUAAAACUGAAAUGUGCCUUUCUGGAUUCCAAAACCUUACGUAGACUGGUGCCAAUUCGUCUUUCUAGAAUUUUGUUGCAGGUUUUUUUCAGGACACACACUUCAUUCUAAUACAACUGCUUAAUUACCAUGCCCAGAAAUUUCCACUUGUGUUCUGGCCUAUGUAUCUUUAACUCCUAUUGCUUACCACCAUUUAGACUCUUCACCUCCUUCUAAUACAGUUAUCUUAUAUAAAUAUCAUAUUCUUUUAAGUUUCCCUUAGCAAAUAGCCAUUCCUCUGUGGGAGGAAGAGUUCUCUUGUUCUGGGCAUGAAGCUCAAUAGCCAGGGAGCAAAAGGCUCAAAUGACCAUGGAGGUUUUUAGCAUUCUCAUGGUGUUUGGGAGAUAAAAAGUGGAGUUCAGAAUCCAUCAUAAAUGGAAUCUCUAGGAAACUAUCAUUAUUCAUAUAUGCUCAAAGUAGGGACAAUCUAGAAGUAGAGGGAGCUCUGCCAGGUGCAGACCAACCUCAAGUUAGUUCAUUAUCAGAUUAGAUUGAGAUAAUGCUGCCAGAAGACAGGAUGAGUCAUAUCUGGAGGAAAACAAACUUAUUCAGAACUUUUAUAAAAUUAGUUAAGCAGUCUUCAAUCAAUAAUUACCAGGCAUACUUUCGCAGCAACAUGGAUGGACCUAGACAUUAUCAUACUAAGUAAAAUAAGUCAGAGAGAUAUUAUAUGAUAUCACUUAUAUGUCGAAUAUAAAAAAUGAUACAAAUGGUCUUAUUUACAAUACAGAAACAGAGUCGCAGACUUCAAAAACAAACUUAUGGUUACAAAAGGGGAGAAGUAUGGGAGGGAUGGACUGGGAGUUUGGGAUUGGCAUAUGUGCACUACUGUAUAUGGAAUGUAUGGUCAAUAGGGAAAAUCUACUCAAUAUUCUGUGGUAACCCAUAUGAAAAAAUAAUAUGAAAAAGAAUGGAUAUGUGUAUAUGUAUAACUGAAACACUUUGCUAUGUAGCAAACAUUAACACAUCAGUGUAAAUCAAUUAUACUUCAAUACUUAAAAAUGGAAAUAAAACAAAAACAACAAAAAUAAUUACCAACCAUAUAAAAAAAAACUACAAGAUAAGACAUAGACAAUAGAAACAGACCCACAAGUGGCCUAGGUGUUGGAGUUAACUGACACAGCCUUAAAAAUAACUGUAAGUGAUGUAUUUGAUUAAAUAAAUGGAAGGGUCUUGAUUUCUCCCAGCUUUAUAUAAAAAGAAUAAAAAUUGGGAGUUCCUGUUGUGGUGCAGUGGAAAUGAAUCUGACUAGGAACCAUGAGGUUGUGGGUUUGAUCCCUGGCCUCACUCAGUGGGUUGGGGAUCCGGCAUUGAUGUGAGUUGUUGUGUAGGUCACAGAUGCGGCUCGGAUCUGGCAUUGCUGUGGCUGUGGUAUAGGCCAGCAGCUGUAGCUCCAAUUCUACCCCUAGCCUGGGAACCUCCAUAUGCUGUGGGUGUGGCCCU
Molecule: long non-coding RNA, 3107 nt
Filed under: Sus scrofa (pig)
Lineage: Eukaryota; Metazoa; Chordata; Mammalia; Artiodactyla; Suidae
Description: lncRNA (ENSSSCG00000061920.1)
Source: RNAcentral